CCUCGGUGGCAUUGGCAGGCCACCCCCGCAGAGCUGCACAAAGGUGGAAUUUGGCCUUGUUUAGGGAGUGUUGGCCCAGCUGGCUUACCAAAACAGGAAAGGCCUUUGGAUACAGAAACUGGGUGUUUUCCUGCUGGAUCUUCAUGGUUCCCCCGUCAUGCUUGCCGUAAGAAUAAGUGAGGUCCGGGGAGGGGGUAAGGUCGGAGCCAGGACACCUGGACCCAGCCUGCUGGUUUGUCCUCUCCCUCCGUCUCAGAAGCCUCUUCACCGCUCCACGCCCAUCUGUGGAAAUCUUUCAUCCUGAUUUUUUUUUUUGAGUCUGGGUUGCCGACAUCAAAACCCGUUAGGAGUUCAUCACAGCUUCCAGUUGCCAUGAAAGCCUCCCGUGACCUGUGAGAAUGGUGCUGGUGCUGAUGGAGAAGUUACUUGGGCUGAGCACACAGGCCGUGAUUUCAUCACGCCGGGGACAUGCUCAAAAUAACAAGCCAGUGAGCAGCAUCGCACUUGAUCUUUGGCCUCAGUGGAGCCUUGGGUCACACACUGGGCGUCCUGGGACCCAGUCUCCCCGCCGCACGGCGUUUCCCAGGCCCUCUUGUUCUUUUAGAGUUGCACCAUGAGCCUCUCUGCACUCUUCCCAAGGCUGUCCUCCUCAGGUCUGCCUUUCUCUGGUGCUGCGGCCGGUGUGCUCUCCCCUAUUUCCAGGUCUGCUGGGGCGCACAUCAGAGCCAGCAGCCGUUGUUGAUCUCUUUUGAUCCAGGGCAGCCCUAUUGCUGAGAGGGGUUGCUAGCUAAGCAAUUGUUAUAAUUUUCCUUUACAGGGAGGUCACUUAGUAAGGACAAUUUGGCAUCUCAUACUCUUUCGUAAAAAAUUAUUUUUAGUCAGUCACAGUGGCUCAUGCCUGUAAUCCCAGCACUUUGAGAGGCUAAGGUGGGAGGAUCCUCUGAGCCCAGGAGUUUGAGGCUGUAGUGAGCCAUCAUUAUGCCACUGCACCCUAGUCUGGGUGACAGAGCAACACCCUGUCUCUAAAAAUAAAUAUUAUUUUAAAACAUUGUUAAGGCCUGGUGCGGUUGCUCACGCCCAUAAUCCCAGCACUUUGGGAGGCCGAGGCAGGUGGAUCACGAGGUCAGGAGUUCGAGACCAUCCUGGCCACCAUGGUGAAACCCCAUCUCUACUUUAAAAAAAAAAAAAAACCAAGCAUGGUGGCACGCGCCUAUAGUCAGUCCCAGCUACUCAGCAGGCUGAGGCAGGGGAAUCGCUUGAACCCGGGAGGUGGAGGUUG
Molecule: long non-coding RNA, 1279 nt
Filed under: Homo sapiens (human)
Lineage: Eukaryota; Metazoa; Chordata; Mammalia; Primates; Hominidae
Description: non-protein coding lnc-NDUFS7-6:3
Source: RNAcentral